GUGGGGUAAAGGCCUACCAAGGCGACGAUCCGUAGCUGGUCUGAGAGGAUGAUCAGCCACAUCGGGACUGAGACACGGCCCGAACUCCUACGGGAGGCAGCAGUGGGGAAUAUUGGACAAUUGGGGCAACCCUGAUCCAGCCAUGCCGCGUGUGUGAAGAAGGCUUUCGGGUUGUAAAGCACUUUCAGUGGGGAGGAACACCUGGCGAUUAAUACUCGUCAGGCUUGACGUUACCCACAGAAGAAGCACCGGCUAACUCCGUGCCAGCAGCCGCGGUAAUACGGAACGAUGUCAACUAGCCGUUGGGGAUCUUGAAUCCUUAGUGGCGCAGCUAACGCACUAAGUUGACCGCCUGGGGAGUACGGCCGCAAGGUUAAAACUCAAAUGAAUUGACGGGGGCCCGCACAAGCGGUGGAGCAUGUGGUUUAAUUCGACGCAACGCGAAGAACCUUACCUGGCCUUGACAUCUACAGAAUCCUCCAGAGAUGGAGGAGUGCCUUCGGGAACUGUAAGACAGCCGUAACGAGCGCAACCCCUAUCCCUAGUUGCCAGCACGUAAAGGUGGGAACUCUAGGGAGACUGCCGGUGACAAACCGGAGGAAGGUGGGGAUGACGUCAGGUCAUCAUGGCCCUUACGGCCAGGGCUACACACGUGCUACAAUGGCGCGCACAGAGGGCUGCAAACCCGCGAGGGGGAGCCAAUCUCACAAAACGCGUCGUAGUCCGGAUCGCAGUCUGCAACUCGACUGCGUGAAGUCGGAAUCGCUAGUAAUCGUGAAUCAGAAUGUCACGGUGAAUACG
RNAcentral lists this ribosomal RNA (801 nucleotides) under Marinobacter salicampi. RNAcentral's name for it is "bacterial SSU rRNA". It matches the Rfam family "Bacterial small subunit ribosomal RNA", at positions 252 to 1370 of the family's 1533-position model. The record is from RNAcentral. Lineage: Bacteria; Pseudomonadati; Pseudomonadota; Gammaproteobacteria; Pseudomonadales; Marinobacteraceae.